This 433-nucleotide ribosomal RNA is filed under the name uncultured bacterium. RNAcentral's name for it is "partial 16S ribosomal RNA". It matches the Rfam family "Bacterial small subunit ribosomal RNA", at positions 29 to 507 of the family's 1533-position model. The record is from RNAcentral.
AACGAACGCUGGCGGCAUGCCUAACACAUGCAAGUCGAACGAGACCUUCGGGUCUAGUUGCGCACGGGUGCGUAACGCGUUGGAACCUGCCCUUAGGUUCGGAAUAACUCCCCGAAAGGGGUGCUAAUACCUGAUAAUGUCUUCGCACCAAAGAUUUAUCGCCCUUGGAUGGGCCCGCGUUUGAUUAGCUAGUUGGUAGGGUAAAAGCCUACCAAGGCGACGAUCCAUAGCUGGUCUGAGAGGAUGAUCAGCCACAAUGGGACUGAGACACGGACCAGACUCCUACGGGAGGCAGCAGUGGGGAAUAUUGGACAAUGGGGGAAAGUCUGAUCCAGCAAUGCCGCGUGAGUGAUGAAGGCCUUAGGGUUGUAAAGCCCUUUUAACCGGGAGGAUAAUGACAGUACCGGGAGAAUAAGCUCCGGCUAACUCCGUG